RNAcentral lists this ribosomal RNA (335 nucleotides) under Enterococcus faecium. RNAcentral describes it as "bacterial SSU rRNA". It matches the Rfam family "Bacterial small subunit ribosomal RNA", at positions 1 to 316 of the family's 1533-position model. The record is from RNAcentral. Lineage: Bacteria; Bacillati; Bacillota; Bacilli; Lactobacillales; Enterococcaceae.
CAUUAUGAGAGUUUGAUCCUGGCUCAGGACGAACGCUGGCGGCGUGCCUAAUACAUGCAAGUCGAACGCUUUUUCUUUCACCGGAGCUUGCUCCACCGAAAGAAAAAGAGUGGCGAACGGGUGAGUAACACGUGGGUAACCUGCCCAUCAGAAGGGGAUAACACUUGGAAACAGGUGCUAAUACCGUAUAACACUAUUUUCCGCAUGGAAGAAAGUUGAAAGGCGCUUUUGCGUCACUGAUGGAUGGACCCGCGGUGCAUUAGCUAGUUGGUGAGGUAACGGCUCACCAAGGCCACGAUGCAUAGCCGACCUGAGAGGGUGAUCGGCCACACUGG